Molecule: ribosomal RNA, 61 nt
Filed under: Rhodospirillaceae bacterium
Lineage: Bacteria; Pseudomonadati; Pseudomonadota; Alphaproteobacteria; Rhodospirillales; Rhodospirillaceae
Description: partial 16S ribosomal RNA
Source: RNAcentral
UUCAACUUGAGAGUUUGAUCCUGGCUCAGGACGAACGCUGGCGGCAGGCCUAACACAUGCA